RNAcentral lists this ribosomal RNA (497 nucleotides) under uncultured bacterium. RNAcentral's name for it is "partial 16S ribosomal RNA". It matches the Rfam family "Bacterial small subunit ribosomal RNA", at positions 28 to 507 of the family's 1533-position model. The record is from RNAcentral.
GAUGAACGCUGGCGGCGUGCCUAAUACAUGCGAGUCGAGCGAACGGACGAGAAGCUUGCUUCUCUGAUGUUAGCGGCGGACGGGUGAGUAACACGUGGAUAACCUACCUAUAAGACUGGGAUAACUUCGGGAAACCGGAGCUAAUACCGGAUGAUAUUUUGAACCGCAUGGUUCAAAAGUGAAAGACGGUCUUGCUGUCACUUAUAGAUGGAUCCGCGCUGCAUUAGCUAGUUGGUAAGGUAACGGCUUACCAAGGCAACGAUGCAUAGCCGACCUGAGAGGGUGAUCGGCCACACUGGAACUGAGACACGGUCCAGACUCCUACGGGAGGCAGCAGUAGGGAAUCUUCCGCAAUGGACGAAAGCCUGACGGAGCAACGCCGCGUGAGUGAUGAAGGUCUUCGGAUCGUAAAACUCUGUUAUUAGGGAAGAACAUAUGUGUAAGUAACUGUGCACAUCUUGACGGUACCUAAUCAGAAAGCCACGGCUAACUACGUG